GCCCCGGUAGCUCAGCGGAAGAGCGCCCGCCUCGUAAGCGGGAGGUCGAGGGUUCAAAUCCCUCUCGGGGCU
The sequence is a transfer RNA, 72 nucleotides long. It matches the Rfam family "tRNA". From Rfam's summary of the family: Transfer RNA (tRNA) molecules are approximately 80 nucleotides in length. Their secondary structure includes four short double-helical elements and three loops (D, anti-codon, and T loops). Further hydrogen bonds mediate the characteristic L-shaped molecular structure. tRNAs have two regions of fundamental functional importance: the anti-codon, which is responsible for specific mRNA codon recognition, and the 3' end, to which the tRNAs corresponding amino acid is attached (by aminoacyl-tRNA synthetases). tRNAs cope with the degeneracy of the genetic code in two manners: having more than one tRNA (with a specific anti-codon) for a particular amino acid; and 'wobble' base-pairing, i.e. permitting non-standard base-pairing at the 3rd anti-codon position.